GUYUUUUUGUUAAAAAUUUAAAGUCGGGCCUGCCCCCUGAAAUUUUAAAUGGCCGUGGUAUUUUGACCGUGCUAAGGUAGCAUAAUCAUUAGUUUUUUAAUUGAAAGCUGGAAUGAAAGGUUUGAUAAAAAAAUAACUGUCUCUAUUUAAUUUCAUUAAAAUUUUAUUUUUAAGUUCAAAAGCUUAAAUAAAAUUAAAAGACGAGAAGACCCUAUAGAGUUUAAUAUUAUAAUAUAAUUUUUAUUUUUGAAUUAAAUUAUUUAUUUUUUUAUAUUAUUUAGUUGGGGUGAUUGAAAAAUUUAAUUAACUUUUUUUAUAUUUUACCAUUAAUUUAUGAUAAUUUGAUCCAAUUUUUUUGAUUAUAAGAUAAAAUUACCUUAGGGAUAACAGCGUAAUUUUUUUAUAAAGUUCAAAUUAAAAAAAAAGAUUGCGACCUCGAUGUUGGAUUAAAAUUAAAUUUUGGUGUAGAAGCUAAAAAUUUAAGUCUGUUCGACUUUUAAAAUUUUACA
Molecule: ribosomal RNA, 509 nt
Filed under: Calligrapha matronalis
Lineage: Eukaryota; Metazoa; Arthropoda; Insecta; Coleoptera; Chrysomelidae
Description: partial 16S ribosomal RNA
Source: RNAcentral